UUGGCUUCUCAACACGUUCAUAUUUUGUUAUUGUAUCCCAUUUAGUUGUUUUUUUCUUGAAAGUAAGUCUCUUGUAUCUUAACCAUCUUUCUAAUCCAUUCAUGUUGGUUUUUUGGUAGCAUUGACACCCCUCGAUCAACGGUUAAAUUUGGGAAGUUUGUUGCUCUUUGAUUCUUUUUUUUUUACUUUUUGUAUGCACUAAUGGUUUUUAUUGGGUAUACGAGUGUUUAGAUAUAAUUUUAAACAAGAACAGGUAGUAAGGAUUUAUAAGACUAGCGGUUGAAUUGGGUAUACAUUCAUUUAUGUGGGUUUGUC
This 315-nucleotide long non-coding RNA is filed under the name Olea europaea (common olive). Its description in RNAcentral is "long non-coding RNA (OEUR_LNC004060)". Lineage: Eukaryota; Viridiplantae; Streptophyta; Magnoliopsida; Lamiales; Oleaceae. The record is from RNAcentral.